Molecule: transfer RNA, 73 nt
Filed under: Mustela putorius furo (domestic ferret)
Lineage: Eukaryota; Metazoa; Chordata; Mammalia; Carnivora; Mustelidae
Rfam family: tRNA
About the family: Transfer RNA (tRNA) molecules are approximately 80 nucleotides in length. Their secondary structure includes four short double-helical elements and three loops (D, anti-codon, and T loops).
Source: Rfam by way of RNAcentral
ACCUAUCUGGCUCAGUCAGUGGAGCAUGUGACUCUUAAUCUCAGGAUUGUGAGUUCAGGUCCCACGUUGGGUG